Molecule: ribosomal RNA, 514 nt
Filed under: uncultured bacterium
Lineage: Bacteria
Description: partial 16S ribosomal RNA
Rfam family: Bacterial small subunit ribosomal RNA
Source: RNAcentral
UAGGGAAUCUUCCACAAUGGACGCAAGUCUGAUGGAGCAACGCCGCGUGAGUGAAGAAGGUUUUCGGAUCGUAAAGCUCUGUUGUUGGUGAAGAAGGAUAGAGGCAGUAACCGGUCUUUAUUUGACGGUAAUCAACCAGAAAGUCACGGCUAACUACGUGCCAGCAGCCGCGGUAAUACGUAGGUGGCAAGCGUUGUCCGGAUUUAUUGGGCGUAAAGCGAGCGCAGGCGGAAUGAUAAGUCUGAUGUGAAAGCCCACGGCUCAACCGUGGAACUGCGUCGGAAACUGUCAUUCUUGAGUGCAGAAGAGGAGAGUGGAACUCCAUGUGUAGCGGUGGAAUGCGUAGAUAUAUGGAAGAACACCAGUGGCGAAGGCGGCUCUCUGGUCUGCAACUGACGCUGAGGCUCGAAAAGCAUGGGUAGCGAACAGGAUUAGAUACCCUGGUAGUCCAUGCCGUAAAACGAUGAGCGCUAGGUGUUGGGGACUUUCCGGUCCUCAGUGCCGCAGCAAAACG